UUGCAGCCCGGAUUGAAGCGGCAUCCCCGCAACGAAGUGGAGGGAUACAGCGGAAAGCCGGAAUUGCU
RNAcentral lists this small RNA (68 nucleotides) under Flavobacterium fontis. Its description in RNAcentral is "Flavo-1 RNA". It matches the Rfam family "Flavo-1 RNA". Lineage: Bacteria; Pseudomonadati; Bacteroidota; Flavobacteriia; Flavobacteriales; Flavobacteriaceae. The record is from Rfam by way of RNAcentral.